AUUGAACGCUGGCGGCAUGCUUUACACAUGCAAGUCGAACGGAAACAGGCCGCAAGGUGCUGACGAGUGGCGAACGGGUGAGUAAUGCAUCGGAACGGGCCCAGUCGUGGGGGAUAACUACUCGAAAGAGUAGCUAAUACCGCAUACGAUCUAUGGAUGAAAACGGGGGACCGUAAUGCCUCGCGCGAUUGUAGCGGCCGAUGUCGGAUUAGGUAGUUGGUGGGGUAAAGGCUCACCAAGCCAACGAUCUGUAGCUGGUCUGAGAGGACAACCAGCCACACUGGGACUGAGACAAGGCCCAGACUCCUACGGGAGGCAGCAGUGGGGAAUUUUGGACAAUGGGCGCAAGCCUGAUCCAGCAAUGCCGCGUGCAGGAAGAAGGCCUUCGGGUUGUAAACUGCUUUUGUAAGGAACGAAACGGCUCUGGUUAAUACCCGGGGCUAAUGACGGUACCGUAAGAAUAAGCACCGGCUAACUACGUG
RNAcentral lists this ribosomal RNA (482 nucleotides) under uncultured bacterium. RNAcentral's name for it is "partial 16S ribosomal RNA". It matches the Rfam family "Bacterial small subunit ribosomal RNA", at positions 30 to 507 of the family's 1533-position model. The record is from RNAcentral.